UGUAUCCUAAUAUUUAAGUUGUUCGUAUUUCUGCCUUUCGAUGCUUGUUGCUAUCUAGUCAUUUAAUAUAUCUUGUUUAUACUGCAGGGUUCUAGUACUAACGAUAGGAUGCAUAAUAUUCCUUGAGAAAAAAAAUUAGUAAAUGGUUAGUGGAAGAUUGUUAUUUAGAGAAGCGAAUUAGAGCCUUAGAGAAUUAAAGUGUCGUGUAUUGAAGUGCAUGCAACUUUAAUUUCUGCAUGAGCAUUGUAAUUCUCGUUCUUUUAGUAAAGUUGAGUACUACAUUAGUAAAUCUUUGUGCUUAUUGGCUUGGGUUGUAGCCUUUGUCUUGUAAUGCAAAAGCAGAAUUUGUCCCGCAGGUUAGUGAAUCUCAUAAGAUGGUGCCAGAUACCACCUCUUUUAAUUUUGUCUCUUGUUUGGGGACACCUUUUUCCUCCUUGAAUGAAGAAGCAAUUUUUAUUAAAUGUAAUCCCAUCUUUUUUGUAAUAAUUUAUCAUCUAAUGUCUAUUAGAUCUUCC
RNAcentral lists this long non-coding RNA (515 nucleotides) under Panax ginseng (ginseng). RNAcentral describes it as "long non-coding RNA (PGIN_LNC005836)". The record is from RNAcentral. Lineage: Eukaryota; Viridiplantae; Streptophyta; Magnoliopsida; Apiales; Araliaceae.